Molecule: long non-coding RNA, 687 nt
Organism: Malus domestica (apple)
Lineage: Eukaryota; Viridiplantae; Streptophyta; Magnoliopsida; Rosales; Rosaceae
Source: RefSeq, a predicted model, not a curated record
UGUCGACUGUUGAAUACAAAUCAAAGUUCAACCCUCAGAAAACUCAGUCGCUCUCUCUCCGACUCUCGAGCCCCCUCGACUCGACCUCACCUCACCUCAGAGCUCAGACAACCUCUCCAUCACCACUCUCCUCGCCAAUUUCUCCCUCCGUCUUCCAAUCCGGCCACACCCACAUCACACAAGUGACUCACCUCUCUGAUCUCUCUCUCAAAUCAGAUUCUGUGCGCUUACUUUGUGGUGCUUCCGCUGCGCGAUGAGGGUGCAAUUUCCUUAGGUUUGUCGAGCCUGCCGAGCCUGUUUGUGAGGUCAUUAGCCCUCACCUCCAUUGCCGCACCAGUUGCAACUCUCAUUUUCUCUCUGCCCAAUGUUUCGAAAGGCAAGGUACUGCCGUGUAAUCUCUUUUCAUGAAGGCCACUGCUUGAAACGUGUGGGAAACAUUCCCUUGGAUGAAUACAAUGUUUCAGUAAUAUGAUGCAUGUGUCGUCCUAAAAUAAGCUCUCCGAGCACUUGGGAUUUCUGUGAGUCAUGUCAGUGAGAUGUUCAUGCUCAUGAGUAAGCUGUAUCCUAGUAUAAGCUAUAUCCUUGGGAUUUCUAUGUAUGAAGUUAAGGGCUAAAAGCCCAAUAUGUAUGAAGUUAUGCACAGAUUAUGCGCAGAUUGAUAUUGAUUGCACAAAUUGAGUUGGGCUA